RNAcentral lists this ribosomal RNA (424 nucleotides) under uncultured Megamonas sp. RNAcentral describes it as "bacterial SSU rRNA". It matches the Rfam family "Bacterial small subunit ribosomal RNA", at positions 338 to 759 of the family's 1533-position model. Lineage: Bacteria; Bacillati; Bacillota; Negativicutes; Selenomonadales; Selenomonadaceae. The record is from RNAcentral.
CCUACGGGGGGCAGCAGUGAGGAAUAUUGGUCAAUGGGCGAGAGCCUGAACCAGCCAAGUAGCGUGAAGGAUGACUGCCCUAUGGGUUGUAAACUUCUUUUAUAAAGGAAUAAAGUCGGGUAUGGAUACCCGUUUGCAUGUACUUUAUGAAUAAGGAUCGGCUAACUCCGUGCCAGCAGCCGCGGUAAUACGGAGGAUCCGAGCGUUAUCCGGAUUUAUUGGGUUUAAAGGGUGCGUAGGCGGCCUUUUAAGUCAGCGGUGAAAGUCUGUGGCUCAACCAUAGAAUUGCCGUUGAAACUGGGGGGCUUGAGUAUGUUUGAGGCAGGCGGAAUGCGUGGUGUAGCGGUGAAAUGCUUAGAUAUCACGAAGAACUCCGAUUGCGAAGGCAGCCUGCUAAGCUGCAACUGACAUUGAGGCUCGAAAG